Molecule: non-coding RNA, 97 nt
Filed under: Ipomoea nil (Japanese morning glory)
Lineage: Eukaryota; Viridiplantae; Streptophyta; Magnoliopsida; Solanales; Convolvulaceae
Description: Bacterial small subunit ribosomal RNA
Rfam family: Bacterial small subunit ribosomal RNA
Source: Rfam by way of RNAcentral
AAUGGCCGGGACAAAGGGUCGCGAUCCCGCGAGGGUGAGCUAACCCCAAAAACCCGUCCUCAGUUCGGAUUGCAGGAUGCAACUCGCCUGCAUGAAG